GUAGGGGGCAAGCGUUAUCCGGAUUUACUGGGUGUAAAGGGAGCGUAGACGGUUACGCAAGUCUGGAGUGAAAGGCGGGGGCCCAACCCCCGGACUGCUUUGGAAACUGUAUAACUGGAGUGCAGGAGAGGUAAGUGGAAUUCCUAGUGUAGCGGUGAAAUGCGUAGAUAUUAGGAGGAACACCAGUGGCGAAGGCGGCUUACUGGACUGUAACUGACGUUGAGGCUCGAAAGCGUGGGGAGCAAAC
This 247-nucleotide ribosomal RNA is filed under the name uncultured bacterium. RNAcentral's name for it is "partial 16S ribosomal RNA". It matches the Rfam family "Bacterial small subunit ribosomal RNA", at positions 527 to 773 of the family's 1533-position model. The record is from RNAcentral.